GGGGAAUAUUGGACAAUGGGCGCAAGCCUGAUCCAGCCAUGCCGCGUGAGUGAUGACGGCCUUAGGGUUGUAAAGCUCUUUCGCCAGGGACGAUAAUGACGGUACCUGGAUAAGAAGCCCCGGCUAACUUCGUGCCAGCAGCCGCGGUAAUACGAAGGGGGCUAGCGUUGUUCGGAAUCACUGGGCGUAAAGCGCACGUAGGCGGAUCUUUAAGUCAGGGGUGAAAUCCCGAGGCUCAACCUCGGAACUGCCUUUGAUACUGGGGAUCUCGAGUUCGGGAGAGGUGAGUGGAACUGCGAGUGUAGAGGUGAAAUUCGUAGAUAUUCGCAAGAACACCAGUGGCGAAGGCGGCUCACUGGCCCGAUACUGACGCUGAGGUGCGAAAGCGUGGGGAGCAAAC
This 400-nucleotide ribosomal RNA is filed under the name uncultured bacterium. RNAcentral's name for it is "bacterial SSU rRNA". It matches the Rfam family "Bacterial small subunit ribosomal RNA", at positions 356 to 773 of the family's 1533-position model. The record is from RNAcentral.